UAAAGACUUGUUCUACCGGAUAGGAUAUC
This 29-nucleotide small RNA is filed under the name Bombyx mori (domestic silkworm). RNAcentral describes it as "ovarian small RNA-18287". The record is from RNAcentral. Lineage: Eukaryota; Metazoa; Arthropoda; Insecta; Lepidoptera; Bombycidae.